This 301-nucleotide ribosomal RNA is filed under the name uncultured bacterium. RNAcentral's name for it is "partial 16S ribosomal RNA". It matches the Rfam family "Bacterial small subunit ribosomal RNA", at positions 509 to 807 of the family's 1533-position model. The record is from RNAcentral.
CAGCCGCCACGGGAAUACGGAGGGGGCUAGCGUUGUUCGGAAUUACUGGGCGUAAAGCGUACGUAGGCGGCUUUGUAAGUUAGAGGUGAAAGCCUGGUGCUCAACACCAGAACUGCCUUUAAGACUGCAUCGCUUGAACGUCGGAGAGGUGAGUGGAAUUCCGAGUGUAGAGGUGAAAUUCGUAGAUAUUCGGAAGAACACCAGUGGCGAAGGCGGCUCACUGGACGACUGUUGACGCUGAGGUACGAAAGCGUGGGGAGCAAACAGGAUUAGAGACCCCCGUAGUCCCUGUCUCUUAUAC